UUAGGUUGUAGUUUAUAGAGAACACUUUAUUUACACUAAAGAGGACCUAAAGGGGGACCUAUA
This 63-nucleotide transfer RNA is filed under the name Laemobothrion atrum. RNAcentral describes it as "tRNA-Val". The record is from RNAcentral. Lineage: Eukaryota; Metazoa; Arthropoda; Insecta; Psocodea; Laemobothriidae.